RNAcentral lists this ribosomal RNA (484 nucleotides) under uncultured bacterium. Its description in RNAcentral is "partial 16S ribosomal RNA". It matches the Rfam family "Bacterial small subunit ribosomal RNA", at positions 30 to 507 of the family's 1533-position model. The record is from RNAcentral.
AUUGAACGCUGGCGGCAGGCCUAACACAUACAAGUCGAGCGGAUGAAGGGAGCUUGCUCCUGGAUUCAGCGGCGGACGGGUGAGUAAUGCCUAGGAAUCUGCCUGGUAGUGGGGGAUAACGUCCGGAAACGGGCGCUAAUACCGCAUACGUCCUGAGGGAGAAAGUGGGGGAUCUUCGGACCUCACGCUAUCAGAUGAGCCUAGGUCGGAUUAGCUAGUUGGUGGGGUAAAGGCCUACCAAGGCGACGAUCCGUAACUGGUCUGAGAGGAUGAUCAGUCACACUGGAACUGAGACACGGUCCAGACUCCUACGGGAGGCAGCAGUGGGGAAUAUUGGACAGUGGGCGAAAGCCUGAUCCAGCCAUGCCGCGUGUGUGAAGAAGGUCUUCGGAUUGUAAAGCACUUUAAGUUGGGAGGAAGGGCAGUAAGUUAAUACCUUGCUGUUUUGACGUUACCAACAGAAUAAGCACCGGCUAACUUCGUG